CCCUUAGAUGUCCUGGGCCGCACGCGCGCUACACUGAUGCAUGCAACGAGUUUAUAACCUUGGCCUGAAAGGUCUGGGUAAUCUUUUGAACGUGCAUCGUGAUAGGGAUAGAUUAUUGCAAUUGUUAAUCUUGAACGAGGAAUUCCUAGUAAACGCGAGUCAUCAGCUCGCAUUGAUUACGUCCCUGCCCUUUGUACACACCGCCCGUCGCACCUACCGAUUGAAUGGUUCGGUGAAGAUCUCGGACUUCGAUAUUUAUUCUUUAUUGAGUUUAUAUUGUGGGAAGUUAUCUAAACCUCAUCAUUUAGAGGAAGGUGAAGUCGCAACA
Molecule: ribosomal RNA, 328 nt
Filed under: uncultured eukaryote
Lineage: Eukaryota
Description: partial 18S ribosomal RNA
Rfam family: Eukaryotic small subunit ribosomal RNA
Source: RNAcentral